This is a long non-coding RNA of Haliotis rubra (blacklip abalone), 382 nucleotides long. RefSeq lists it as uncharacterized. The record is from RefSeq and is a predicted model, not a curated record. The transcript has 3 exons. Lineage: Eukaryota; Metazoa; Mollusca; Gastropoda; Lepetellida; Haliotidae.
GUGAUGAUUUUGGCCGUCAGAAGAUCACCCAAGAUACAUAUGUAUGUUCCAAACACUUUGUUGAUGGACAUGGUCCUACAGGCGAACAUCCUGACCCUAUACCAGCUACCGCUAGAGGUGUGGAACUUAGAAUCUUCAACACGAAGAAGUCAAGACCACCACCUAAAGGCCGUGUGAGCUUGUCGCCAGAGAAGAAAAAAAGUCGUUCACAACUCCAGGUACUCAAUGUGAACAUUGAUAAGGAAAAUGAAAUAACUGAGGGUUCUGAAGAGCAAGAUAAAAAUGUUGAUAAUGAAGAUGCAAGAAAACAGGUUUCCUGUUCUGAUGCAGCUACUCAGACUGACAUCUUGCAUGAUGAUCUGGCUGGCUACAGUGAUGAUCA